Molecule: ribosomal RNA, 2244 nt
Filed under: Escherichia coli
Lineage: Bacteria; Pseudomonadati; Pseudomonadota; Gammaproteobacteria; Enterobacterales; Enterobacteriaceae
Description: partial 23S ribosomal RNA
Rfam family: Bacterial large subunit ribosomal RNA
Source: RNAcentral
GGGACACGUGGUAUCCUGUCUGAAUAUGGGGGGACCAUCCUCCAAGGCUAAAUACUCCUGACUGACCGAUAGUGAACCAGUACCGUGAGGGAAAGGCGAAAAGAACCCCGGCGAGGGGAGUGAAAAAGAACCUGAAACCGUGUACGUACAAGCAGUGGGAGCCUCUUAAUGGGGUGACUGCGUACCUUUUGUAUAAUGGGUCAGCGACUUAUAUUCUGUAGCAAGGUUAACCGAAUAGGGGAGCCGAAGGGAAACCGAGUCUUAACUGGGCGUUAAGUUGCAGGGUAUAGACCCGAAACCCGGUGAUCUAGCCAUGGGCAGGUUGAAGGUUGGGUAACACUAACUGGAGGACCGAACCGACUAAUGUUGAAAAAUUAGCGGAUGACUUGUGGCUGGGGGUGAAAGGCCAAUCAAACCGGGAGAUAGCUGGUUCUCCCCGAAAGCUAUUUAGGUAGCGCCUCGUGAAUUCAUCUCCGGGGGUAGAGCACUGUUUCGGCAAGGGGGUCAUCCCGACUUACCAACCCGAUGCAAACUGCGAAUACCGGAGAAUGUUAUCACGGGAGACACACGGCGGGUGCUAACGUCCGUCGUGAAGAGGGAAACAACCCAGACCGCCAGCUAAGGUCCCAAAGUCAUGGUUAAGUGGGAAACGAUGUGGGAAGGCCCAGACAGCCAGGAUGUUGGCUUAGAAGCAGCCAUCAUUUAAAGAAAGCGUAAUAGCUCACUGGUCGAGUCGGCCUGCGCGGAAGAUGUAACGGGGCUAAACCAUGCACCGAAGCUGCGGCAGCGACACUAUGUGUUGUUGGGUAGGGGAGCGUUCUGUAAGCCUGUGAAGGUGUACUGUGAGGUAUGCUGGAGGUAUCAGAAGUGCGAAUGCUGACAUAAGUAACGAUAAAGCGGGUGAAAAGCCCGCUCGCCGGAAGACCAAGGGUUCCUGUCCAACGUUAAUCGGGGCAGGGUGAGUCGACCCCUAAGGCGAGGCCGAAAGGCGUAGUCGAUGGGAAACAGGUUAAUAUUCCUGUACUUGGUGUUACUGCGAAGGGGGGACGGAGAAGGCUAUGUUGGCCGGGCGACGGUUGUCCCGGUUUAAGCGUGUAGGCUGGUUUUCCAGGCAAAUCCGGAAAAUCAAGGCUGAGGCGUGAUGACGAGGCACUACGGUGCUGAAGCGACAAAUGCCCUGCUUCCAGGAAAAGCCUCUAAGCAUCAGGUAACAUCAAAUCGUACCCCAAACCGACACAGGUGGUCAGGUAGAGAAUACCAAGGCGCUUGAGAGAACUCGGGUGAAGGAACUAGGCAAAAUGGUGCCGUAACUUCGGGAGAAGGCACGCUGAUAUGUAGGUGAAGCGACUUGCUCGUGGAGCUGAAAUCAGUCGAAGAUACCAGCUGGCUGCAACUGUUUAUUAAAAACACAGCACUGUGCAAACACGAAAGUGGACGUAUACGGUGUGACGCCUGCCCGGUGCCGGAAGGUUAAUUGAUGGGGUUAGCGGUAACGCGAAGCUCUUGAUCGAAGCCCCGGUAAACGGCGGCCGUAACUAUAACGGUCCUAAGGUAGCGAAAUUCCUUGUCGGGUAAGUUCCGACCUGCACGAAUGGCGUAAUGAUGGCCAGGCUGUCUCCACCCGAGACUCAGUGAAAUUGAACUCGCUGUGAAGAUGCAGUGUACCCGCGGCAAGACGGAAAGACCCCGUGAACCUUUACUAUAGCUUGACACUGAACAUUGAGCCUUGAUGUGUAGGAUAGGUGGGAGGCUUUGAAGUGUGGACGCCAGUCUGCAUGGAGCCGACCUUGAAAUACCACCCUUUAAUGUUUGAUGUUCUAACGUGGGCCCCUUACCGGGGUUGCGGACAGUGUCUGGUGGGUAGUUUGACUGGGGCGGUCUCCUCCUAAAGAGUAACGGAGGAGCACGAAGGUUGGCUAAUCCUGGUCGGACAUCAGGAGGUUAGUGCAAUGGCAUAAGCCAGCUUGACUGCGAGCGUGACGGCGCGAGCAGGUGCGAAAGCAGGUCAUAGUGAUCCGGUGGUUCUGAAUGGAAGGGCCAUCGCUCAACGGAUAAAAGGUACUCCGGGGAUAACAGGCUGAUACCGCCCAAGAGUUCAUAUCGACGGCGGUGUUUGGCACCUCGAUGUCGGCUCAUCACAUCCUGGGGCUGAAGUAGGUCCCAAGGGUAUGGCUGUUCGCCAUUUAAAGUGGUACGCGAGCUGGGUUUAGAACGUCGUGAGACAGUUCGGUCCCUAUCUGCCGU